GAAAUUAGUGGCAGGCAUUUUUCAUAUGAUUACUACACAAGAAAGUUAAGGAAUGGCGAGUUCAGUGAUCGGAGGUGGUUAGUGUACUCUAAACACGUGAAUAAAGUCUACUGCUUUUGUUGCAAAUUGUUUAAAUCUGGAAAAGGCAAAAGUCUACUAGCAUCCGAGGGAUUGAAGAAUUGGAGACAUCUUAGUUUGGAACAAAGAUAG
RNAcentral lists this ribosomal RNA (210 nucleotides) under Triticum aestivum (bread wheat). RNAcentral's name for it is "partial small subunit ribosomal RNA". The record is from RNAcentral. Lineage: Eukaryota; Viridiplantae; Streptophyta; Magnoliopsida; Poales; Poaceae.